Long non-coding RNA from Lagopus leucura (white-tailed ptarmigan), 2835 nucleotides. RefSeq lists it as uncharacterized. The transcript is spliced from 5 exons. The record is from RefSeq and is a predicted model, not a curated record. NCBI's taxonomy places the organism in Eukaryota, Metazoa, Chordata, Aves, Galliformes, Phasianidae.
CUAUUUGGAUUAUGAAGUUUGAUGGGCUGUGAUUUGGCUCAGAUUUACAUUAUUUGGAAAAAUAUUCUGAACUCUCCAGACAGCCCCUGCCACAGACUUUCAGAACUGGCUGGUUUUAAGUGUUUAUUUCCAGUCACACCAGGAGAGGGGAUGCAGUUGGAUACUUUCUAGAAGAAGUAAAAAUCAAUACUGUGUUGCUGUCAGAAGUGCUUAAAGGGAGAAAAGCCUGGAGUGUAGCUCUCAUUUUGGAGAGAUUGAUUUUUACUCAGAAGAUUGUACAAGAUACAGGAGGAAAGAGAAGACGUGAUCCUGCAGACCUGCAUCCUCACCUCUGCGGUGGGACUGAGGCUUCAAAAGGUUUUCUAACUAUGGAAGCACUACAGAGGAGCUGCACCGUGCGCUGCUGACCCCAGGGUGGGGAGGCCUGGUGUACUUCAAUGUCCUUUGCUCAGCAUUUGGACAAGAGAAAUUUCCAUGUGCCUCCUGUUUGGUACUGCAGUGGUCUAAAUUAGAAGAACAGCUGCUCUUGGUCAGUCCCAAAGGCAUGGAAGAUUAGAAGGGCAGAGCACGCAUGUUGGUUUUAUAGAUUUCGGUGAACAUUUGUGGCUAAGCCAUCAUCGCUGCAAAACAGACUGCUCAAGUCGUCUGGGGCUGAGAAGAAGAGUUAGUUUACAUAUCAAAACCUAACCUUCCUUCCUAUUGGCAGAUAUCAAUGUCCAUUUAGAAACUCUUCAUUUUCAGGAGGUUUUUGGAAUACAUAAUCAUGACUUUCUCUGCACCUAGACUAAUGACUUCAUGUGCACAUAAGUAUUCUGCAGAAGCCUGAGAAGAGCUCACUGCUCAUUAUGAGCCCCAGGGCACUGUUUUCCAAUGGGUCAAUAUUUCAUAGAUUGUUAUGAUAACCGAUGACAAAAAGCCUGUUUACAUGGAAAACGCUAUUGACGGUAGCUAAUGCAGUUGCAAAUCCCAAGUGCAUUUCAGUGCAAAUCUGCAUAUAAACACAAUUCUUUGUAAAGGAAAGCCUUAUUUCCAUAGCAGGCUUCUUUCAGAAUAAUGCAUAGAUUUGCCUUGUCUUUAACUAAGGUUGUGAGUCACAGGAAGGUUUUGGUUCUCAUUUCUGCAUGGACAAACCCCAGGCUCUUGUAUGUUUCAAAUAUCUUCCUUUAAACAUUUGCCUGUUGCGGUGCUUGUGCCCUUUGCCUUAGCAGUCAGCCAGUUCCCUUUGAAGAUGUUUACUAAUUAAAUCAGAACAAAGAUGGAAUGAGUGUUAAGCACCUUCAAACACUUGUUGCGGGCUUCAGUCCCAUGAUUGUACUUCACAAACUGCCAUAAAAUCCAUAUAUUUGAGAACACAGUGCAUAGCAAUUCCCAUAAAAUAUUUUCUUUUUUUUUUAAAGAUAGGUUAAGGCAAAAAGUAAACAAUAAAUAGUUUUACAGUCUUUUACACCUGCACCUGCUACAGCAGGAAAGGUGCACAGUAUUUUAGAUCUGGCAGGACACUGAGACCCAGCACGGGGGAUUGCAACUCCGCUGAUGGCUUUAGGAAACUUAUUGGCUUUGCUCCUUUUCCUUAUCUGCCAUGCAUAGGCUAGUACUUAGAAAUACAACUAUGAACCAAAAUUUCAGCUGCUGUCACUGCCACCUUCAGGGUAUCCAAAUUCUAAAUAACUCUUAUUUUUAGAAUCUGGGAUAAAGUUGCUUCUCACUCAUUUGGGUGUGACACACUUGUGCUGAUCUCAAUAGCUGGAGAUCUUUUUAAUUAAAGAACAAUGAUAAAAAGCCACAUAAAUGGGUUGCCUCAAAGCAUCAUCGUACUGCAGAUGCUAAUUAUCGUAAUUAUAUGAGAUUGCUCACGUUUAUUUUCUAGGUGGGAAGGCACAGCAGCUGACCAGGUUUCAAUGUGUGGCUUUUUCAGCAAGAUUUUAAGGAGUCAAGUCACUUGCCCAGGAGUUGUUGUUCUUUGCAAACUGCAUAGCUAUGGUCAACCUCAGCUAGUGCUUACUCAAGGCAUAAAAAAUAUCACAAGGGACUUUCUUUGAGCAAUUUCCAGUCUUAGCUAACAGCACAGACUUAGUCUUCUUGGCCUAUGAAUACUUGCCUUCUCCCAGACUGACAUAUGUUGCUAUCUGGGGACGCAAAGGAAGUAUACUGAGUGCAGGCAGCAUCUUAGAAGACUGCUGAUAUUAUUGCAGUGUGUUAUGUAGCCAUCCUAAUUUAGUAAUUAUGCCAAGAUUUCAACAUUUAAACCCUUCCAAAAUAAUAUUAAACCCAGCAUGGUCUGGUCCCAUCAUCAGUAACAUGGCCAUGAUGUGCAAUAGCAGCAGCCUCCUUCUUUCCUCUUGCAAGGGAGGUGCUGGCAAGGCAGCUUUCUGGAAGAGGAAACCUGGAACCUUAGCAGAGACUGUUGGAUUGCUUCAGUUGAAUUAUCUGGAGGAAGGCUUCACAAGAAAGCUGGGAGGACCGAGACCUAGGAGCAUUUUCACUGGUGAAAUGGCUAAAGUGGGGAGAAGGACUCUUGGUAAAAUGACAGGAGGGUAAAGAGACACAGGGAGAUUGUGCUGCUUAGGUCACAGAAAGAAUCAGUUCACGAUCCCCAAAUUCUGGGACUAACAUUUGUUUCAAAUUGACUAAAAUUAUGCUAAUCUGUAUUUUCAUUGAACCAACAAGCAACUCCCGAUGAACACCUUAAAAAGUCAAGACUGCUUUUCUCAUCUCAAAAUAAACAUAGCUUGGAAGAGGGCUAAAAACAUCUUGUUAGAGCCAAACAAGUGAAAUAAAGUAAUUUUGAAUCAUUCUCAAUUAAAAAUAAUUAAAGGGUGUUGAAAAUCGUGCCUA